GAUCAUGGGCUCAGAUUGAACGCUGGCGGCAGGCUUAACACAUGCAAGUCGAACGGUAACAUAAAGAAGCUUGCUUCUUUGAUGACGAGUGGCGGACGGGUGAGUAAUGCUUGGGAAUCUAGCUUAUGGAGGGGGAUAACUACGGGAAACUGUAGCUAAUACCGCGUAGAAUCGGGAGAUGAAAGUGUGGGACCUUCGGGCCACAUGCCAUAGGAUGAGCCCAAGUGGGAUUAGGUAGUUGG
This 242-nucleotide ribosomal RNA is filed under the name uncultured bacterium. RNAcentral's name for it is "partial 16S ribosomal RNA". It matches the Rfam family "Bacterial small subunit ribosomal RNA", at positions 15 to 252 of the family's 1533-position model. The record is from RNAcentral.